RNAcentral lists this ribosomal RNA (217 nucleotides) under Bordetella avium 197N. The record is from RNAcentral. Lineage: Bacteria; Pseudomonadati; Pseudomonadota; Betaproteobacteria; Burkholderiales; Alcaligenaceae.
CGCUUCUUCCAAAUUCAAGCUGUUGACAACAGCGUCAACUGCUUAGCCAGUUACGCCUGACGACCAUAGCAAGGUGGCCCCACUCCUUCCCAUCCCGAACAGGACAGUGAAACGCCUUCGCGCCGAUGAUAGUUGGUUUACGCCUGUGAAAGUAGGUCAUCGUCAGGCUUUUAUCCCUCAAAACCCCACAAGCUACCGCUUGUGGGGUUUUGUUUUU